Molecule: long non-coding RNA, 130 nt
Organism: Carassius auratus (goldfish)
Lineage: Eukaryota; Metazoa; Chordata; Actinopteri; Cypriniformes; Cyprinidae
Exons: 3
Source: RefSeq, a predicted model, not a curated record
GGAACCCCAGGGGACAAAGGAGAGACAGGUACUAGAGGUGAGCGAGGACCUCCUGGUCUUCCUGGAACCCCAGGCAAUAUUGGUUUCCCCGGUCCUCAAGGGCCUCCUGGACUGCCUGUAAGUCAACACA